CCACUGCUAGAAAAUAUACAAAUAAUUAUCUUAUAAAAUAUACCCUAAGAGUCUCUUUAGUGUGCAGGAUAACAAGAUAAAAUAUGAUAAAAUUAUCCUAUCCUAAUUAAAUUCAUUGUUUGGUGCACUAAUAGAAAAAGAUAAAUUAAUUAUUUUUUAAUCCUAUCAUACUGAACCUUCCUUAAAUGUCAAACUCGCUUCAUUAAAAUGUUGCAUAUGUAUUAAAUGUAUGGGAGCUUACUUUUUUAUUGUUCGACAAUCUCAUACUAAGACCAUUCAUAGCAUAUCACCUCAAAUUGGAUGCUUAAAUGGGUCAUCUGUGUUCACAUCACUCAUUAUACGGUACUACUUAAUAAACACCAGUUUUCUUCAACCCAACACCUCAAAAGAAAUUAUUAAAUAGGUUCGACAAAUAAUUCUAAAUCAUUACAUUUCAACAAAAUUUGUUAAAUGGGACAUGCGAAAAAUGAAGAGAGAGAUGAUGCUUCCUUAGCCACCUUUGUCCAUAAGCACCCAUAUAUUAUACUCUAUAAUGAAGAUGCAUGUUUAAUGUGGUACUAAAUAAAUGAAGCACUUACCAUUGUGGAUGGUCUAAAUAUUCAUUAGUUAAUGUUGUUUAUAGAUUCCUGUCAAAAUUAAAAUCAACGCUAAGAAUUUAUACAUAUUCAACAUUUAUAAAAGAGUUUAAUGUGCAUGUUUGAGAUACUUUUUAAAGCUUGUUAAUCUUGAGGAAAAGGUCAAUAACCUCCAAGACCUUAAACCCCAAACCCUAUUUGAUCCAACUAUGGCAAAAGGCAUUUAUUUUGUCACCAGUAUUUGAUUCAAAUAGAGUUGGCGGGGGUUCCAUUUGCACUUUACUUUCUAAUUUGUCAAUCUUUGAACACAUCAUCUAUCAUCUAUGUAAUAAAGUUAUUGAACUUGCCUCUUUUCAAGGAUGAUAUCCUCAUAAAACCAUAUGCACUUAGAUAUCUCCACUAUUUUCCUCAUCAUGUAAUUCAAGCUUCUGCUGCCACCUUCCUUUCUGUGCUAAUAUAAUAAUUCAGAUUAUAUAAUUUAAAAGUUCCUUAAACUUAGUUUGUUUCAUAUAAU
This 1089-nucleotide long non-coding RNA is filed under the name Medicago truncatula (barrel medic). RNAcentral describes it as "long non-coding RNA (MTRU_LNC005854)". Lineage: Eukaryota; Viridiplantae; Streptophyta; Magnoliopsida; Fabales; Fabaceae. The record is from RNAcentral.